Molecule: long non-coding RNA, 666 nt
Filed under: Olea europaea subsp. europaea
Lineage: Eukaryota; Viridiplantae; Streptophyta; Magnoliopsida; Lamiales; Oleaceae
Source: RNAcentral
AUAGUACUUCACUCAAUCACUCUCAAUUCCACUCAUUCACUCAAUACAUAGAAUUAAACUUUUGUGUGUGUAGGAGUUGACAUGCAUGCCUUCAAUGUUGGUUGAAAAUAGAAGAUCCAAGAUCCUUCAACUAAAUCGGUGAUGAUUCUUAACCUCUCGCCUAUAGAAACGACUCUUUAAUUUAGUGCUUCACCUUUAAUCAUUCCUAAUCAUGUUUACACCUCUUUGAAUUCGGAAGUGAUGAGUCCUUUGGUCUCUGUUGAGAAUUCGAACCUUGGUUGCCCCCAAAAUUUGGUAUACUAGAGUCACACUUUGUAAGUGACAACUCUUUAAAUGGAUGAGUUUAACUGGAUGAUGUCACUUGGCACACUUCUGGCCUUUGGAUGCUAUUCUGGAUGGAUCUAUCAUUUUAACCUAAGGUUGCAUUUCUUUAUUCACUUCAUUCUGCUUUUCAUUUUUGACAGAGAAAAAUUACCCUCUGGCUAGGGGUCUUCAUUCCUGUGUAUGCUCUACACUAAAACAUCAUUCAAGGCACUAAAUCUUGCAAUCCUAGUGUUAUAAUUGUAAUAUGGGUGAUUUGUAUGAAGGGACUCUGAGUGAUUUUUAGUUGAGUAUGAAUUUAGUUUAGGGUUUGGUGAUUUUGAGAGAUCUUGAUGAUAAGUGACU